GUCGGAAACUUGCAGCUCCCGCGCCACCCCCUUCGUCUCCCGGGAGAGCGGGCCCCCGGCGACCUAACCCGGGAGCCGUCAGACCUCCCCGGGCGUGGUCGGCCGCUCCGGGCCUCGGAGUUGGGCGGGGUCUGCGCUGCAGCGUCGUGGGUUCUCUCCGGCACAAUGUGCCGGUGCGCGGAGAGAAAAACAAAACAAAACAAAACCCAGAAACACACUCCUAAAGUGUCACCGGCAUUUGUGGAGUGGCGGGGGUCUACACUGAGCGUAUGUGCCUGGAGACGCUGGGGGGAGGGCACUGCGGCCAAGGGCAGGGCAGGGCAGGGCAGGGCAGGAGGACCGUGAAGGCCCGCUGGCCGCAGGGGAGCCCUUCCUCCCCGGGUUCCGCGGCCGGGAGCACCCCAAGCCGUGGCUAAAGGGGCCGCUCGGCUCUCCUGCACCCCGCGAGCCCCCCUCCCCCGCCUUCCCUGUGUCCCCCGGCUUUUCCAGGAGGAAGGUGGGGUGCCCAGCGGGGGCGGGGCGCGCCGGGCCGCCGGGCCGGGCUGUCACGUGCCCCCCUCCCCCGCCACUGCGGCGGGAGUUCCAAUCAGAGCGCGCCAGGGGGCUCCUCCUGGGCAGGAACCACCCGGCUUGGCGGCGGAGGGUGGGCCGCCGUCACCUGACCGCCCGCCCCCGCCCCCCGCGAGUAAGGGGCGGUGGUAGCGUCUGCUCGGUUACAAAUGGCCCCUCCCGCCCCGCUCGCCCGCUCGCUCGGGCUCGGCGCGGACCCGCCCGGGCGCGCUCCUCGCGCCGGUUCCCGGCGUCCCGCCGCCCUGCCGGGAACCGGCCAGCGGCCCCCGCCACCCCUAAGGGUGCUGCCGACACCCGGUGCAGAGGCUCGCCGGCGGAGGUCGCUACGGGAGGCUGGACCGCGGAGGCGCGCGGCUCUCCCACCCGCAGGUAUCCAGGCUCUCUGUGGGAGUCCCCUCUGAACUGCAGCCACACUGAGUCCCCUCUGAACUGCAGCCACACUGCCCUCUACUUGAUGAGUACUCGGUGGUCAGACACUCAGAUGCAACCACAAAAGGUGCCGUGCAGAUCCCAGCUACUGGUGACUCCACAAUGGCCUCUGCCCUUGGGACCACUGUCUCCUAAAACAGGACUGAAGCCUGGAACGACACUGGACGCAAAAGGCGAACACCAAACGAGAAUUCCAAAGUCAUUUCACUGCUGAGACGCUCCUCCGUGUCUGCCCGCUGAAUCUGAGAGCCGAGCAGCCCGGCGGGUCACCUGCUGGUGGAAAGGCAGAGCACAGUGACGGCUCAUCGGGGUUCACACCGACCACCGGAUUUCCUUUCGGAAUAUCUGGUUCCCGAGCCACCUCCCAGGGCGGGGAUGCGCAAGCCGUGGGGGGCUGUAUUUCCCACCGAGGACUUGCUGAAGGCAGGAGGGCCCCCCCCCAGAGAAGCACCGAUGCGCAGUCGCAGCCAGAAUGCCCUCUUCAGGAUGCAUGCCUGCGUCAUGUGAAUCCCUCCACCCUGCCUGGAACUCCUUCAAGAGUUGGCCUCACUCUGACGACAGAGCCUGGCUUCCUGUGGGCCGGCGCCGCAGCCUGGAGGCCGGGCGCACCCAGCAGGCUGAAUUCUGCCUUUUCAGAACGCUCCUCUCACGCGGCCAUCGUGCAUCCAUUCCUGGGACUCUCCGCUGAGGUAUGGCUCCUUUUCCAAAAUGCGCGCGGCCUCACUGAGAACAGCCUCCCCGUCGUGCUGAACAUCCCAGACCCUCCACUGAAGCACACUGGAUGCCACCUGACUGUGCCACCAGAAAGAAACAAGAGGACACCUGGGUGGCUCAAUCUGUUAAGGGUCCGACUUCGGCUCAGGUCAUGA
RNAcentral lists this long non-coding RNA (1868 nucleotides) under Felis catus (domestic cat). RNAcentral's name for it is "lncRNA (ENSFCAG00000046436.2)". Lineage: Eukaryota; Metazoa; Chordata; Mammalia; Carnivora; Felidae. The record is from RNAcentral.